RNAcentral lists this ribosomal RNA (450 nucleotides) under uncultured bacterium. Its description in RNAcentral is "partial 16S ribosomal RNA". It matches the Rfam family "Bacterial small subunit ribosomal RNA", at positions 329 to 793 of the family's 1533-position model. The record is from RNAcentral.
UCCCAGACUCCUACGGGAGGCAGCAGUGGGGGAUAUUGCACAAUGGGGGGAACCCUGAUGCAGCGACGCCGCGUGGGUGAAGGAGCGUUUCGGCGCGUAAAGCCCUAUCGGCAGGGAAGAAGGAGGACGGUACCUGACUAAGAAGCCCCGGCUAACUACGUGCCAGCAGCCGCGGUAAUACGUAGGGGGCAAGCGUUAUCCGGAUUCACUGGGUGUAAAGGGAGCGUAGACGGCGACGCAAGUCUGGAGUGAAAGCCCGGGGCCCAACCCCGGGACUGCUCUGGAAACUGCGGCGCUGGAGUACGGGAGGGGCAGGCGGAAUUCCUGGUGUAGCGGUGAAAUGCGUAGAUAUCAGGAGGAACACCAGUGGCGAAGGCGGCCUGCUGGACAUUAACUGACGCUGAGGCGCGAAAGCGUGGGGAGCAAACAGGAUUAGAUACCCCAGUAACG